Molecule: ribosomal RNA, 429 nt
Filed under: Actinomycetes bacterium
Lineage: Bacteria; Bacillati; Actinomycetota; Actinomycetes
Description: Actinobacteria bacterium partial 16S ribosomal RNA
Rfam family: Bacterial small subunit ribosomal RNA
Source: RNAcentral
UAGGGAAUCUUCCGCAAUGGGCGAAAGCCUGACGGAGCAACGCCGCGUGAGUGAUGAAGGUCUUCGGAUCGUAAAACUCUGUUAUUAGGGAAGAACAAAUGUGUAAGUAACUAUGCACGUCUUGACGGUACCUAAUCAGAAAGCCACGGCUAACUACGUGCCAGCAGCCGCGGUAAUACGUAGGUGGCAAGCGUUAUCCGGAAUUAUUGGGCGUAAAGCGCGAGUAGGCGGUUUUUUCAGUCUGAUGUGAAAGCCCACGGCUCAACCGUGGAGGGUCAUUGGAAACUGGAAAACUUGAGUGCAGAAGAGGAAAGUGGAAUUCCAUGGGUAGCGGUGAAAUGCGCGGAGAUAUGGAGGAACACCAGUGGCGAAGGCGACUUUCUGGUCUGUAACUGACGCUGAUGUGCGAAAGCGUGGGGAUCAAACAGG